UCCAUGACUUUAUUUGGAUAAACCUGGUACAAUAAAAUCAUCAUUUUUAACAAAGUCCUAGACACAAAGCUAACUAUCUUCAUAGUUUUUUAAAGGCGCAAAUGAAAGUACUGAAUUUCAAAGUAAAUUAAUUUUUUUUAUCAAUGUUAAAUCAUUUAAACCUGUGCAUUUGUUAAAAAAAUGGAAGGCUGAUAAAAGGGAAAGAAAAAAAUGAUAAUUUUCAGUAAUAGCUUACCAUAACUUUGACAGUGUUUCUAA
Biomphalaria pfeifferi is the source of this 258-nucleotide non-coding RNA. The record is from the annotation of a GenBank genome assembly. Lineage: Eukaryota; Metazoa; Mollusca; Gastropoda; Planorbidae.